AUUGAACGCUGGCGGCAGGCCCAACACAUGCAAGUCGAACGGUAACAGGAAGACGCUUGCUUCUUUGCUGACGAGUGGCGGACGGGUGAGUAAUGUCUGGGAAACUGCCUGAUGGAGGGGGAUAACUACUGGAAACGGUAGCUAAUACCGCAUAACGUCGCAAGACCAAAGAGGGGGACCUUCGGGCCUCUUGCCAUCGGAUGUGCCCAGAUGGGAUUAGCUAGUAGGUGGGGUAACGGCUCACCUAGGCGACGAUCCCUAGCUGGUCUGAGAGGAUGACCAGCCACACUGGAACUGAGACACGGUCCAGACUCCUACGGGAGGCAGCAGUGGGGAAUAUUGCACAAUGGGCGCAAGCCUGAUGCAGCCAUGCCGCGUGUAUGAAGAAGGCCUUCGGGUUGUAAAGUACUUUCAGCGGGGAGGAAGGGAGUAAAGUUAAUACCUUUACUCAUUGACGUUACCCGCAGAAGAAGCACCGGCUAACUCCGU
RNAcentral lists this ribosomal RNA (489 nucleotides) under uncultured bacterium. Its description in RNAcentral is "partial 16S ribosomal RNA". It matches the Rfam family "Bacterial small subunit ribosomal RNA", at positions 30 to 506 of the family's 1533-position model. The record is from RNAcentral.